This 253-nucleotide ribosomal RNA is filed under the name uncultured bacterium. RNAcentral's name for it is "partial 16S ribosomal RNA". It matches the Rfam family "Bacterial small subunit ribosomal RNA", at positions 524 to 776 of the family's 1533-position model. The record is from RNAcentral.
UACGUAGGGUGCGAGCGUUAAUCGGAAUUACUGGGCGUAAAGCGUGCGCAGGCGGUUCGUCGUGUCCGAUGUGAAAGCCCCGGGCUCAACCUGGGAAUGGCAUUGGAAACUGGCGGACUCGAGUGUGGCAGAGGGGGGUGGAAUUCCGCGUGUAGCAGUGAAAUGCGUAGAGAUGCGGAGGAACACCGAUGGCGAAGGCAGCCCCCUGGGUUGACACUGACGCUCAGGCACGAAAGCGUGGGGAGCAAACAGG